This 116-nucleotide ribosomal RNA is filed under the name Vibrio parahaemolyticus. RNAcentral describes it as "partial 16S ribosomal RNA". It matches the Rfam family "Bacterial small subunit ribosomal RNA", at positions 1 to 99 of the family's 1533-position model. Lineage: Bacteria; Pseudomonadati; Pseudomonadota; Gammaproteobacteria; Vibrionales; Vibrionaceae. The record is from RNAcentral.
AAAUUGAAGAGUUUGAUCAUGGCUCAGAUUGAACGCUGGCGGCAGGCCUAACACAUGCAAGUCGAGCGGAAACGAGUUAUCAGAACCUUCGGGGAACGAUAACGGCGUCGAGCGGC